RNAcentral lists this ribosomal RNA (511 nucleotides) under uncultured bacterium. RNAcentral's name for it is "bacterial SSU rRNA". It matches the Rfam family "Bacterial small subunit ribosomal RNA", at positions 30 to 529 of the family's 1533-position model. The record is from RNAcentral.
UUGAACGCUGGCGGCAGGCCUAACACAUGCAAGUCGAACGGUAACAGGAAGAAGCUUGCUUCUUUGCUGACGAGUGGCGGACGGGUGAGUAAUGUCUGGGAAACUGCCUGAUGGAGGGGGAUAACUACUGGAAACGGUAGCUAAUACCGCAUAACGUCGCAAGACCAAAGAGGGGGACCUUCGGGCCUCUUGCCAUCGGAUGUGCCCAGAUGGGAUUAGCUAGUAGGUGGGGUAACGGCUCACCUAGGCGACGAUCCCUAGCUGGUCUGAGAGGAUGACCAGCCACACUGGAACUGAGACACGGUCCAGACUCCUACGGGAGGCAGCAGUGGGGAAUAUUGCACAAUGGGCGCAAGCCUGAUGCAGCCAUGCCGCGUGUAUGAAGAAGGCCUUCGGGUUGUAAAGUACUUUCAGCGGGGAGGAAGGGAGUAAAGUUAAUACCUUUGCUCAUUGACGUUACCCGCAGAAGAAGCACCGGCUAACUCCGUGCCAGCAGCCGCGGUAAUACGGA